This 68-nucleotide transfer RNA is filed under the name Ictidomys tridecemlineatus (thirteen-lined ground squirrel). Its description in RNAcentral is "Spermophilus tridecemlineatus (thirteen-lined ground squirrel) tRNA". It matches the Rfam family "tRNA". From Rfam's summary of the family: Transfer RNA (tRNA) molecules are approximately 80 nucleotides in length. Their secondary structure includes four short double-helical elements and three loops (D, anti-codon, and T loops). Further hydrogen bonds mediate the characteristic L-shaped molecular structure. tRNAs have two regions of fundamental functional importance: the anti-codon, which is responsible for specific mRNA codon recognition, and the 3' end, to which the tRNAs corresponding amino acid is attached (by aminoacyl-tRNA synthetases). tRNAs cope with the degeneracy of the genetic code in two manners: having more than one tRNA (with a specific anti-codon) for a particular amino acid; and 'wobble' base-pairing, i.e. permitting non-standard base-pairing at the 3rd anti-codon position. Lineage: Eukaryota; Metazoa; Chordata; Mammalia; Rodentia; Sciuridae. The record is from Rfam by way of RNAcentral.
GUUGUGGCUCAGUGGUAGAGCACUUGCCUAGCAUGUGUGAUGCCCUGGGUUCAAUCCUCAGCACAACA